RNAcentral lists this transfer RNA (61 nucleotides) under Proasellus assaforensis. RNAcentral describes it as "transfert RNA-H(CAC)". The record is from RNAcentral. Lineage: Eukaryota; Metazoa; Arthropoda; Malacostraca; Isopoda; Asellidae.
GUCUUGAUAGUUUAUAUAAAAUACCAGUAUGUGGGGCUGGGGAAGAUUUAUUCUUAGGACA